RNAcentral lists this transfer RNA (72 nucleotides) under Brachybacterium kimchii. RNAcentral's name for it is "Brachybacterium sp. CBA3104 tRNA-Val". It matches the Rfam family "tRNA". Rfam says of the family: Transfer RNA (tRNA) molecules are approximately 80 nucleotides in length. Their secondary structure includes four short double-helical elements and three loops (D, anti-codon, and T loops). Lineage: Bacteria; Bacillati; Actinomycetota; Actinomycetes; Micrococcales; Dermabacteraceae. The record is from RNAcentral.
AGUCGUUUAGCUCAGUGGAAGAGCAUCUGGUUUACACCCAGCGGGUCGGGGGUUCGAAUCCCUCAGCGACUA